UUCCAGACUCCUACGGGAGGCAGCAGUGGGGAAUAUUGCACAAUGGGGGAAACCCUGAUGCAGCGACGCCGCGUGAGUGAAGAAGUAUUUCGGUAUGUAAAGCUCUAUCAGCAGGGAAGAAAAUGACGGUACCUGAUUAAGAAGCCCCGGCUAACUACGUGCCAGCAGCCGCGGUAAUACGUAGGGGGCAAGCGUUAUCCGGAUUUACUGGGUGUAAAGGGAGCGUAGACGGCACUGCAAGUCCGGAGUGAAAGCCCAAGGCUUAACCAUGGGACUGCUCUGGAAACUGUGGAGCUUGAGUGCGGGAGGGGCAGGCGGAAUUCCUAGUGUAGCGGUGAAAUGCGUAGAUAUUAGGAGGAACACCGGCGGCGAAGGCGGCCUGCUGGACCGUAACUGACGUUGAGGCUCGAAAGCGUGGGGAGCAAACAGGAUUAGAUACCCCGGUAC
Molecule: ribosomal RNA, 447 nt
Filed under: uncultured bacterium
Lineage: Bacteria
Description: bacterial SSU rRNA
Rfam family: Bacterial small subunit ribosomal RNA
Source: RNAcentral